RNAcentral lists this ribosomal RNA (293 nucleotides) under uncultured bacterium. RNAcentral describes it as "partial 16S ribosomal RNA". It matches the Rfam family "Bacterial small subunit ribosomal RNA", at positions 505 to 796 of the family's 1533-position model. The record is from RNAcentral.
GUGUCAGCCGCCGCGGUAAUACGUAGGGUCCAAGCGUUGUCCGGAUUUAUUGGGCGUAAAGAGCUCGUAGGCGGCUCGGUAAGUCGGAUGUGAAACCUCCAGGCUCAACCUGGAGUCGCCAUCCGAUACUGCUGUGGCUUGAGUCCGGUAGGGGAGCAUGGAAUUCCUGGUGUAGCGGUGAAAUGCGCAGAUAUCAGGAGGAACACCAGUGGCGAAGGCGGUGCUCUGGGCCGGUACUGACGCUGAGGAGCGAAAGCGUGGGGAGCAAACAGGAUUAGAUACCCCCGUAGUCC